Molecule: non-coding RNA, 647 nt
Organism: Paramuricea clavata
Lineage: Eukaryota; Metazoa; Cnidaria; Anthozoa; Malacalcyonacea; Plexauridae
Source: the annotation of a GenBank genome assembly
CGCGAAUUUUAAUACAAGUAUGGUAUCAUAUUUCAUAAUACAACAAACAAUGUAAACUAGCCAUACAUUUUGCCGAACAUAACUUCGGCCCCUUUGGACAUAUCUUUUUCGUGAUAAUGUUAUUGGAACCAGAAUCGAAAACACUAUUUAUAGUGUUAUUUUCAAGCUUGUGUCUUGAGAUUUUCAUCUUUUAUUUCGGUAUUUACAGAAUAUUUAUACUUUUAGCGCGGCCCAUGGAACGCACAUGAAAACAACGCGCUGUUAGGAAAAACCGGAAAUCGAUUCUGUAGGUCGGCAUGAUUUGUACGUGCAUCGAUCUCCAUUACGUCUCCCGAAAAGGCCUUUUAUUUUUUUAAAAAGUCCAUAAAAUUUGCUUGCGGUUUAAGAUUUGUAUUCCUGCCUUUUGUACCAUAGCACAUAUCUCGUUAUUUUCAGGCAGUGUGAACGCCUGAGCAGGCGUCUUGUUAUAUAAUAAUCUGCAAUCGGCCAUUUCAUUGACCAAUAGCAUGAUCUAUUCCAGGAAAGAGGCACGAUUUUUGUAUUUGAUGUAAGAUUUUUGUAUUUUUUCCACCCUCAGGACUGCAUUGCGUGCGUUUUCUGAAACAGAUUUUUGGCCAUAUAGCGUUACAUUAUACUGUAGAUGGACU